AGACACAUGGAAGGCAGCUGUGUAGGUGAACACUGCAGCUCACACCUGCCCUGUGUCCUCCGUGGGUGACAUCUGGCUGUCCACACCUGAAGCCCUGAUGUCUGAGGGUUCUCCAGAUGUCUGGGGACUGUUCCUAUCCAGCCUGUGCCCCUGUGCUCUGGUGAGUUUCCCAUCCUCCUUUGUGGUGAGAAUGAAGUCAUGUAACAAGCUUCUGACCAGAAGAGCAAAGCAUGGCACCCCACAGGGCCGCUAACCCAACCUCUUCAGCCUCUGAUGUGGACUGAAGACCAACAACCCUCCAGAAAGCUCCCAGCCUGCUGACACCAGGCUAGGGCUCUGAGACCUCCAGGCCCUGGGUACCACUUCCCAGAGAGCCCAACACACAGGCAGUUGUUGGGUUACAGAGCUGUACCAUUCCAUAUCCUGAGUUCUACACCCCCAUAUUCAACCAGCUAUGGCUGCAGUCAGCAGCACACCUCGAUCACAAACUGGCAUCUCCCGUCAGCGCCUGACAAACAACAGGAAAUCAGUGCUGGUUCCACGAGGCUCACAGUACCUAGAGAAACCUGAAGUUUUCCAGACCGCCCCGCUGUCAUGGCAACAGCAGAAGAAACAAACAAAGCUCACAUCAAGCGACUGAACACAAAGCCAUACCAUUAUUUUAAUAAUCGGCAAUGGCCACGCGGGGCUGACAGCAGCAGGCUUUCAGGGCACUGCCGCCAACGUGUCUCUCUCUUGAGAUGUCUUGAAGUGCUCACCGACACGUGUGGGCCUUGGCACUCAGAUCAUGCCUCCAGCUUGGAGUCUCCUCUUGUGUAGACCCUUACUGCCGACAGCGGUCACCAACUAGUGGGCUUGGGAAGCCGGGUGGCCAGAUGGUUAGAGGCCCCAGCCUCAGGCCAAGCAGCCCUGAGUGCAAAUCCAAGCCCUGCACCUUCCAAGCUGGUGAUGGAAGAAAUGGCAGUGCUGGUACAAUUACAUCUCCCUGCUG
This 991-nucleotide long non-coding RNA is filed under the name Mus caroli (Ryukyu mouse). Its description in RNAcentral is "lncRNA (MGP_CAROLIEiJ_G0006153.1)". The record is from RNAcentral. Lineage: Eukaryota; Metazoa; Chordata; Mammalia; Rodentia; Muridae.